AUUAAUCGAGGUCGAGAACCUCAAAAUUUAAU
Flavobacterium aquatile is the source of this 32-nucleotide regulatory RNA element. It matches the Rfam family "S16-Flavobacteria ribosomal protein leader". Lineage: Bacteria; Pseudomonadati; Bacteroidota; Flavobacteriia; Flavobacteriales; Flavobacteriaceae. The record is from Rfam.